GCCAGGUGUGGUGGUGGGCACCUGUAAUCCCAGCUACUCUGGAGGCUGAGGCAGGAGAAUCACUUGAGCCCAGGACGUGGAGGUUGCAGUGAGCAGAGAUCAUGUCACUGUACUCCAGCCUGGGCAACAGAGUAAGACUCUGUCUUAA
Homo sapiens (human) is the source of this 148-nucleotide non-coding RNA. It matches the Rfam family "Metazoan signal recognition particle RNA". From Rfam's summary of the family: The signal recognition particle (SRP) is a universally conserved ribonucleoprotein. It is involved in the co-translational targeting of proteins to membranes. NCBI's taxonomy places the organism in Eukaryota, Metazoa, Chordata, Mammalia, Primates, Hominidae. The record is from Rfam.